CCUGAUAGUGGGGGACAACGUCUCGAAAGGGACGCUAAUACCGCAUACGUCCUACGGGAGAAAGCAGGGGACCUUCGGGCCUUGCGCUAUCAGAUGAGCCUAGGUCGGAUUAGCUUGUUGGUGAGGUAAUGGCUCACCAAGGCGACGAUCCGUAACUGGUCUGAGAGGAUGAUCAGUCACACUGGAACUGAGACACGGUCCAGACUCCUACGGGAGGCAGCAGUGGGGAAUAUUGGACAAUGGGCGAAAGCCUGAUCCAGCCAUGCCGCGUGUGUGAAGAAGGUCUUCGGAUUGUAAAGCACUUUAAGUUGGGAGGAAGGGCAGUCAGCGAAUACCUGGUUGUCUUGACGUUACCGACAGAAUAAGCACCGGCUAACUCUGUGCCAGCAGCCGCGGUAAU
Molecule: ribosomal RNA, 400 nt
Filed under: uncultured bacterium
Lineage: Bacteria
Description: bacterial SSU rRNA
Rfam family: Bacterial small subunit ribosomal RNA
Source: RNAcentral